Molecule: ribosomal RNA, 253 nt
Filed under: uncultured bacterium
Lineage: Bacteria
Description: partial 16S ribosomal RNA
Rfam family: Bacterial small subunit ribosomal RNA
Source: RNAcentral
UACGUAGGGGGCAAGCGUUGUCCGGAAUCAUUGGGCGUAAAGCGCGUGUAGGCGGCCCGGUAAGUCCGCUGUGAAAGUCCAGGGCUCAACCCUGGGAUGCCGGUGGAUACUGUCGGGCUCGAGUCCGGAAGAGGAGUGUGGAAUUCCUGGUGUAGCGGUGAAAUGCGUAGAGAUGUGGAGGAACACCAAUGGCGAAGGCAGCCUUCUGGGCCAACACUGACGCUCAUGCACGAAAGCGUGGGGAGCAAACAGG